CCUACGGGAGGCAGCAGUGGGGAAUUUUGGACAAUGGACGCAAGUCUGAUCCAGCCAUGCCGCGUGUGGGAAGAAGGCCUUCGGGUUGUAAACCACUUUUGUCAGGGAAGAAACGGCUCACUCUAAUACAGAGGGCUAAUGACGGUACCUGAAGAAUAAGCACCGGCUAACUACGUGCCAGCAGCCGCGGUAAUACGUAGGGUGCAAGCGUUAAUCGGAAUUACUGGGCGUAAAGCGUGCGCAGGCGGUUAUGCAAGACAGAUGUGAAAUCCCCGGGCUCAACCUGGGAACUGCAUUUGUGACUGCAUGGCUAGAGUACGGUAGAGGGGGAUGGAAUUCCGCGUGUAGCAGUGAAAUGCGUAGAUAUGCGGAGGAACACCGAUGGCGAAGGCAAUCCCCUGGACCUGUACUGACGCUCAUGCACGAAAGCGUGGGGAGCAAACAGGAUUAGAUACCCUGGUAGUCCACGCCCUAAACGAUGUCAACUGGUUGUUGGGAGGGUUUCUCUCAGUAACGUAGCUAACGCGUGAAGUUGACCGCCUGGGGUGGUACGGCGCGAGUAGUUAACGUUACGAANAGAGUUGNGGCGNGAGACGNGCGACGGACGACGACGAGGGAGGAGG
RNAcentral lists this ribosomal RNA (623 nucleotides) under uncultured bacterium. Its description in RNAcentral is "bacterial SSU rRNA". The stretch from base 1 to 541 matches the Rfam family "Bacterial small subunit ribosomal RNA", at positions 338 to 873 of the family's 1533-position model. The record is from RNAcentral.